UAAAGACAAGAGCUUACUUCUGAAGAUGCCCAUAAAUCACUCACCACCACUUUAAUUUCCCUUUUUAAAAUCUUGUUUUCUUGAUAGAAAUGAGCAGAGACAAAACCAACAUCUUACCUGCUGUGGGAAAGCCUCCAGGUGCCAGGCUAUGCCCUCUCUCACCCACCUGCCAUCAGAGCAAGUGGACCCUUGGGAAAGAAGCUGUGUGCACAGUGACUCCUCUUGUCCCAGCUCCUGGAGUCUGCAGGAGACGGGCAGCUUCCUUCUUCCUCCCCGUUCCUUUUUUUCUUAGCAUUUGUGUCCAGGUGGCUACCCAUUUUUACAUCCCACUUCAGAAAAACGUGAAAAGGGACUCCUGUGGGAAAGGCCCUGAAACUUUGACCUCAGUGUCUGCGAACAAAAGGAGUCAUGUAGGAAAGCAAAAAGCCUCAGUAAGAUCUCUAGCACGGGGAUGUGAGACUUGCAAACCGAGUACAGAUGCCUUUGCAGCUGGUUCUGCCUCGAACACUCACGGUCCUACUGUGGAUAGAUCCCAUCUGGGAGCAAGGAGCACCAGAACCUAACCUUCAACCUCACUAUCUGUCUACUGCUCCCCACAGUCUUCCUGGAGUGUCAGCAGGGCCCUGACUCUUGUAGAUAUUAUCUUUCUCAUCCCUCUGAGCUGGCAAAAAACAGAGAGGCAGAAGGGAUGCAGCUGACCCCUGAGUUACAGUUUUAGGACUGGGCUGUUUUCCCUGCCCCACUUUCGUAGCUGGGGCUGGUUGGAAGGCAGUUGGGGGCCCUGGUAGUGGUAUACGCAACAAUGUUUUUUCUGAGAUCCUUACAGGGCAGCUUGACUCUGCCUCUCACUGGAACUAGGCUGCAGUGUUGGUCUGGGAUCAGCAGGAGGCCACUCACAUCAGACCUCUGCAGCAUCGUUUCCUGGCCCAUUGGUGACUUGCUCUACUAAAGUCCUCUCUGAGGACAGGAUCUGACCUAAUUGUAAAAUUAUCACGGGAGCAUCUCAAGAGGAACUACUCCUGCAGCAGUGAUCUGGGCCAGGCAGUCAUGAUGCUGAUGUACUCCUUGACAUUGUGACCAAGGGCCCCAGAGGGCUGAAAGUCGAAGACACUCAGUCCAUGGGGAACAUCCUGCCCGGAGAACAGGGGAUGGUGUCAGGCCUGCAGAACCCCGCCCGUAACUGCCAACAGUGCCUCAUCAGUCACUCCACUACCACCUUUUCUGGGGAGCAUCAAGCAGGUGUGACCUCUACACACCAUGGGCUCCAACUUUCUCGCUCAUGUAUUCAUUCUUCAGCAAAUGUUUGCCGGGGACCUACUGUGUGGUGGCUGCUUUGCUGAUGGGAUUCACACGAGAGUGGACGGCAAAUAUCAUGAGGGGAGCUCACAGCAGGUAGCAGGCUGCGCUUUCAUUUGCAUAGUGAAUCAGCACGGAAGCCUUGCUCCUGUCAUCUCAUCGGAUCUUCAGAGCAGCCCUGGAUCGGGUUAGCUAGCACUGGUUCCUAGGCUAAAAUCAGUCUCCAAAACAAUGGUCCUAGGAGGGGAUGGAGAAGAGGACCCAGCUCCCAAGUGUGCAACAUGAGCAGAGACUGCUGUGAAGACAAAGGAAUGAACACCAGUUGAGAUUCCUGGCCAAGGAGCAUCAGUGAAGAUGGUUUCUGGAAGGUACUAUGUGAGAUACCAAAGACAGUGGCAUCCAUGCUGCAGCGCCCACGAAACUCUCACCUGUGAUUCAAAUGUAGCUGCUUUGAGUCAUCCACAUCUCUUUCCUGGAAAGGGAAGAAACAGUCAUGGCUCCUAGAUGGAGCUCCUGUGGAAAUGAUUGUACCAAGAAACAACGUCUUCUUCCAAGCUCAGCGGGUGCAAUAGGCUGUGAACUAUCCCAGGUUUUGUGAAUUUGGAAAGAUGAGAGAGGUUUCACCCAUUUUAGAGAAUAUAAAUCACAGUCUGAACUGGGGAAUGCUGUGGGACUUACCGUACUGGAUCUCACCGUGUAGCCCUGGCUGGCUUGGAAACUGCUAUAUGGAACAGGCUGGCCUCAAACUCACUAAGAUCUGCCUGUCUCUUCCUCUCCAGUGCUGAUAUUAAAGAGGUUUGUCACCACAGCCAGCCUUUAAUGUAUAGUUUUUUUAAAUUUCAUACUGAUGAAGUUAUUGUGUAAGUAUACAUUUUUCAAAGAACUGCAUUAAGGAGAC
This is a long non-coding RNA of Mesocricetus auratus (golden hamster), 2194 nucleotides long. RefSeq lists it as uncharacterized. NCBI's taxonomy places the organism in Eukaryota, Metazoa, Chordata, Mammalia, Rodentia, Cricetidae. The record is from RefSeq and is a predicted model, not a curated record. The transcript is spliced from 4 exons.